RNAcentral lists this ribosomal RNA (468 nucleotides) under uncultured bacterium. RNAcentral describes it as "partial 16S ribosomal RNA". It matches the Rfam family "Bacterial small subunit ribosomal RNA", at positions 28 to 507 of the family's 1533-position model. The record is from RNAcentral.
GACGAACGCUGGCGGCGUGCUUAACACAUGCAAGUCGAACGGAAAGGCCCUGCUUUUGUGGGGUGCUCGAGUGGCGAACGGGUGAGUAACACGUGAGUAACCUGCCCUUGACUUUGGGAUAACUUCAGGAAACUGGGGCUAAUACCGGAUAGGAGCUCCUGCUGCAUGGUGGGGGUUGGAAAGUUUCGGCGGUUGGGGAUGGACUCGCGGCUUAUCAGCUUGUUUGUGGGGUAGUGGCUUACCAAGGCUUUGACGGGUAGCCGGCCUGAGAGGGUGACCGGCCACAUUGGGACUGAGAUACGGCCCAGACUCCUACGGGAGGCAGCAGUGGGGAAUAUUGCACAAUGGGCGGAAGCCUGAUGCAGCAACGUCGCGUGCGGGAUGACGGCCUUCGGGUUGUAAACCGCUGUCGCCUGUGACGAAGCGUGAGUGACGGUAAUGGGUAAAGAAGCACCGGCUAACUACGUG